AAGUCGUAACAAGGUUUCCGUAGGUGAACCUGCGGAAGGAUCAUUAAGGUAAAGUUGCUUAGUCUAUUCAUGUGAUCUCCCUAGGAUGAACUGGGAUAGGCUGGGUAACUAUAAAAAUUUCUAUGCGUACCGUAUUGUAAAGCCACUUUGUUUAACAGAGUGAUGAUUAUUAACCCUUUAAAUAUUAAGUCAUACAAAACCAAAAGAAACAACUUUUAACAAUGGAUCUCUUGGCUCUC
RNAcentral lists this unclassified non-coding RNA (239 nucleotides) under fungal sp. Its description in RNAcentral is "partial internal transcribed spacer region". The stretch from base 1 to 46 matches the Rfam family "Eukaryotic small subunit ribosomal RNA", at positions 1786 to 1831 of the family's 1831-position model. Lineage: Eukaryota; Fungi. The record is from RNAcentral.